CCUACGGGAGGCAGCAGUGAGGAAUAUUGGUCAAUGGCCGAGAGGCUGAACCAGCCAAGUCGCGUGAGGGAAGACGGCCCUACGGGUUGUAAACUGCUUUUAUACGGGAAUAACGCGCCUUACGUGUAGGGCUUUGCAUGUACCGUAUGAAUAAGGACCGGCUAAUUCCGUGCCAGCAGCCGCGGUAAUACGGAAGGUCCGGGCGUUAUCCGGAUUUAUUGGGUUUAAAGGGAGCGUAGGCCGCAUGUCAAGCGUGCUGUGAAAUGUCCGGGCUCAACCCGGGCCUUGCAGCGCGAACUGGCGUGCUUGAGUCCGCGGAAAGCAGGCGGAAUUCGUCGUGUAGCGGUGAAAUGCUUAGAUAUGACGAAGAACCCCGAUUGCGAAGGCAGCUUGCUGCAGCGGAACUGACGCUGAUGCUCGAAAGCGCGGGUAUCGAACAGGAUUAGAUACCCCAGUAGUC
RNAcentral lists this ribosomal RNA (460 nucleotides) under uncultured bacterium. RNAcentral describes it as "partial 16S ribosomal RNA". It matches the Rfam family "Bacterial small subunit ribosomal RNA", at positions 338 to 795 of the family's 1533-position model. The record is from RNAcentral.